Lemur catta (Ring-tailed lemur) is the source of this 169-nucleotide long non-coding RNA. RefSeq lists it as uncharacterized. NCBI's taxonomy places the organism in Eukaryota, Metazoa, Chordata, Mammalia, Primates, Lemuridae. The record is from RefSeq and is a predicted model, not a curated record. The transcript has 4 exons.
UUUUGGUUUAAAGAUGCUUUCCUUCUUUCUUUUAGCUACCCUCCUGGCUUUGAGCACAGCCCAGCAAGAGCUUCAAGCCCAAGGUGUUUGGCAAGACCAGCAUCAGCAAGGGCAAGAAAGUCAACUCAGACAACCAAAUAUUGGAUGAAGAAAUGGAUUUAGAAGGAGG